This is a long non-coding RNA of Lacerta agilis (Sand lizard), 224 nucleotides long. RefSeq lists it as uncharacterized. NCBI's taxonomy places the organism in Eukaryota, Metazoa, Chordata, Lepidosauria, Squamata, Lacertidae. The record is from RefSeq and is a predicted model, not a curated record. The transcript is spliced from 2 exons.
GUUCAGGGCUGGAGAGCAAAGCUGUGGAACGAGGGAGGUGAAGAAAAGAUGGCAGCGCCUGAAUUUUCUGCUCCAGAAAUGGCCUUGAUAGGAAAAACAUCUGAUUUGGCUCCGUUCUGUAUCCUUGAUUAACUGAAGUGGCCUCUCAAGUCUCCACCGUGGAAGAGAAAAAAGCAAAACUUAUUCUCUCCUAAUGAAAUGCAAUAAAUGCUUUCUACACACAC